UUGGCUCAGUUGGUAGAGCAUCUGACUUUUAAUCAGAGGGUCGCUGGUUCGAACCCAGCACGGCUCA
RNAcentral lists this transfer RNA (67 nucleotides) under Listeria monocytogenes. Its description in RNAcentral is "tRNA-Lys". It matches the Rfam family "tRNA". From Rfam's summary of the family: Transfer RNA (tRNA) molecules are approximately 80 nucleotides in length. Their secondary structure includes four short double-helical elements and three loops (D, anti-codon, and T loops). Lineage: Bacteria; Bacillati; Bacillota; Bacilli; Caryophanales; Listeriaceae. The record is from RNAcentral.